UAAAAGGCGGCGCUGUAAAUAAAAUGAUAAAAACAAUGGAACGAGUAUCUUAUUUAAGUGAUCGUAAGGGAGGUUGUCGGUAGGAAAUUAAUGACUGCAGACAAAGAGAUGAAUAUUGAAAGGCACUUUUUUCUUUUUUUUUCUGGAGGUAGCUGUAAAUGAUGAAUCGACUGUGCGUCUUAAGAUGUCUAGAGACAUGAAGGAAAAAGGAGAUGCUCAGGAAUGAUAAUGAGAAACAUACUGUGGCCAAGAAGGAGAUGGAAAAGCAAAACUUAACAGUGAAAUUGAGUAAGAACAAAACAAGACAACUGAAAAAAAAAAAAGCACAAGGAAAUGCUUCGGUCUGCAGGAAUGAUACUUAAAUCCAUGGCUGUGAAGUUCACUUAUCAAUCAGGAAAAUGCAGCAGUGAAGAUGAAGGUCUGGAUGCAACAGAAGGAAGGCAGCGGAGGUGUUAGAUUUCUUACAAGCAACACAAGAGAUCUAUUUUGCUGACUGUGCAUCCCUUGUUUCUGAGCCCUUGGUUCCUCUUGAUGAACAAUCUUGACACUCGCACUGUGCCUUCUUCAGAUGUUGCCAUGCUGUAUGAGCUCAAGUCCCUUGUCCUCCUGCAGGAUAUUGACCAUACUGGAAGGAUUCCCAGACAAUUCAAUGAUGC
Molecule: long non-coding RNA, 656 nt
Organism: Acipenser ruthenus (sterlet)
Lineage: Eukaryota; Metazoa; Chordata; Actinopteri; Acipenseriformes; Acipenseridae
Exons: 3
Source: RefSeq, a predicted model, not a curated record